RNAcentral lists this ribosomal RNA (775 nucleotides) under uncultured Neocallimastigales. RNAcentral's name for it is "partial large subunit ribosomal RNA". It matches the Rfam family "Eukaryotic large subunit ribosomal RNA", at positions 24 to 644 of the family's 3401-position model. Lineage: Eukaryota; Fungi; Neocallimastigomycota; Neocallimastigomycetes; Neocallimastigales. The record is from RNAcentral.
UAUGUGAUCGUCUCUCGCAUAUCAAUAAGCGGAGGAAAAGAAACUAACAAGGAUUCCCCUAGUAACGGCGAGUGAAGCGGGAAGAGCUCAAAUUUGAAAUCUUAAAGGGUUUCCCUUUACGAAUUGUAGUUUAAAGAAGUGUUUUCUGUUGAGGUUUUGGUAAAAGUUCUUUGGAAUAGGACAUCAUAGAGGGUGAGAAUCCCGUAUUUGACCUUUACUUUCAACUUUGUGAUACACUUUCAAAGAGUCAGGAUUGUUUGGGAAUGCAGUCCAAAAUGGGUGGUAAAUUUCAUCUAAAGCUAAAUAUUGGCGAGAGACCGAUAGCGAACAAGUACCGUGAGGGAAAGAUGAAAGAACUUUGAAAAGAGAGUUAAACAGUACGUGAAAUUGUCAAAAGGGAAGCGUUUGACACCAGUGUUGUUUUUCUGAAAAUCAAUUAAAGAACUGUUUAUGCUAAGUUGUUUAGACUUUAUCAGCUAACUGUUUAGUUUUGAGCUUUUCUUUAAUGCACUUCUCAGUUAACAAGUCAACAGUCAAUUUCUUUUGCUGUAAAAAAGCUUGAGGAAGGUGGCUUGAGAUUCGUCUUAAGUGUUUAUAGCCUCUUGCCUAUGCAGUCGGAGAGAUUGAGGUCUGCAGCGUAGAUCCUUCGGGGCUAAAUGCAUUUGUGCUAAGUUAUAGCAUUUUAUAGACAACUUGUUGACUAUGAUUUGUCUUGUAGCUUACUCGCUUAUGUUAUUUUACCUACGCUUAGGAUGUUGACUGAUAUGUAGUCGUA